UCUACGGGAGGCUGCAGUGAGGAAUAUUGGUCAAUGGCCGGAAGGCUGAACCAGCCAUGCCGCGUGAAGGUCAGUGCCCUAUGGGCGUUAAACUUCUUUUGUGCGGGAGCAAUAAUGGUCACGUGUGGCCAGACGAGAGUACCGUACGAAUAAGCAUCGGCUAACUCCGUGCAAGCAGCCGCGGUAAUACGGGGGAUGCAAGCUGUAUCCGGAUUAAUUGGGUUUAAAGGGGGUGUAGGCUGUGAGUUAAGUCAGCGGUGAAAUGCCCCCGCUCAACGGGGUGAAGUGCCAUUGAUACUGCCUUGCUGGAAUGCGGAUGCCGUGGGAGGAAUGUGUGGUGUAGCGGUGAAAUGCAUAGAUAUCACACAGAACACCGAUUGCGAAGGCAUCUCACGAAUCCGCGAUUGACGCUGAUGCACGAAAGCGUGGGUAUCAAACAGGAUUAGAUACCCUGGUAGUC
Molecule: ribosomal RNA, 460 nt
Filed under: uncultured bacterium
Lineage: Bacteria
Description: partial 16S ribosomal RNA
Rfam family: Bacterial small subunit ribosomal RNA
Source: RNAcentral